Molecule: non-coding RNA, 455 nt
Organism: Carica papaya (papaya)
Lineage: Eukaryota; Viridiplantae; Streptophyta; Magnoliopsida; Brassicales; Caricaceae
Source: RefSeq, a predicted model, not a curated record
AUUUCAGAGAGUCAAAGUAUAUCGUUUAAAUGAUGAUGGAAAAUGGGAUGACCAAGGAACUGGGCAUGUCAGUGUCGACUAUUUGGAGAGAUCAGAAGAAUUGGGUUUAUUUGUUAUUGAUGAAGAAGACAAUGAGACAUUGCUUAUGCACCGUAUCUGCCCAGAUGACAUCUACAGGAAGCAAGAAGAUACGAUUAUCUCAUGGAGAGACCCCGAAUAUUCAACGGAAUUAGCACUUAGCUUCCAAGAAACUACAGGGUGCUCUUAUGUGUGGGAUAACAUCUGUAAUGUGCAAAGAAAUAUGCAUUUCAGUUCUCUUAACAGUGAUGAGGGAUUUACAAGAAGGGGUUUUUAGUGGCCUUGGUUUUUCUAGCUCACAGAUAAAGCAAAAGAGCCAGGACCAAGUUGUGGAUAAAGGUCUAUGAUAAAACUUUAUGUAUGUGAUUUCGUUUCUU